AAACGUAGGGAGACAAGCGUUAUCCGGAGUUACUGGGCGUAAAGGGCGUGUAGGCGGCCUUCUAAGUGGGUUGUGAAAGCGACUGGCUCAACCGGUCGAGGCCGACCCAGACUGGGAAGCUAGAGGGCGGUAGAGGGGUGUGGAAUUCCGGGUGUAGUGGUGAAAUGCGUAGAGAUCCGGAGGAACACCAGAGGCGAAGGCGACACUCUAGGCCGCACCUGACGCUGAGACGCGACAGCGACGGGGAGC
RNAcentral lists this ribosomal RNA (249 nucleotides) under uncultured bacterium. RNAcentral's name for it is "partial 16S ribosomal RNA". It matches the Rfam family "Bacterial small subunit ribosomal RNA", at positions 523 to 769 of the family's 1533-position model. The record is from RNAcentral.